GGCAGCUCUGCGGGACCCCAGUCGGAGCCGGCCCGCGGAGGAGGAGGAUCCUAGGACCCAGGAAAACAGAGGAGCUGAUGUACCCCGAGGAAGACCGCUGUGUUCCCCAAGAGGCACAGAUAUGCUUAUGAGUGUCUUAUGAGACCACCUAACUACCUACAGGAAGUACCACAGCAACCAGGUGACAUAAGGAUUCCUUCAAGGACAGUUUGCUGAGGAGCAUAAUGAAAAACAGUUGGUGAUGGUAUUUACGGAGCAGCUGCAGAUGGUAGAGUGUGACUCCAGGCCCAAGAAAGAAGCACUGACUGGUGGAAUCGCAUCGUAAAGCAGGUUUAGGACAAGGAGCAGUGGCUGCAGAACUUUUGGCUGCAAAAGAACACAUCACUUGCUCCUUGUGCUGAGUGGGAAACUGCAUGGUGAUCACUCCCUGGAAGCUUGCAAUGCAAAAUUGCUACCAAUCCAUGGGAAAUCAUUUUGGAGUUGGAAAAUCCAUGGGGGCAUGGAGGAAAACAUUGUCAUAGGAGUCUGUAGGACCACUAAUCAUCUGAUAUGCAGGAUUGUGACUCUCAACAAUCUUCAGGAAAUGGUGAAUGGGGUUCCCAAACUGCACUGGAGUAACAGACAGCGUGAUUAUCCUUAUUUUGGCAUCAGCCCACCUUGCUAUACAAUACAUCAACAGAAAGUGCUACUUUUCCAUGGUUCUGCAAGUGGGGUAGAUCACCCAUAUUGAUGCUGCCAAGGAUGGUGCAUAAUCCUUGCAUCCUUAAAAACACAGGACUGUUCAGAAAGCAACAAGAAUAUUCUUCCUUAUCAGCACAUUAUCAUUGCCAAUUUUAACACUCCAAUAGUGGUACUGAGAAACUCAGCCUACCCUUUGCACCGCUGGCUCAUGAAGCCAUACACCAGGGGUGGGGAACCUCAGGCCCGGGAACCAGAUGCAGCUCCUGGCUUUCCUAAAUCUGGCCCCCAAGGCUCAGGGCCCCCUCUCCAGCAUUGGUCCACACUGGUCCUCCCACUGCCCCACAGCACACAAAAUCUACUAGCCUGGGGGCCCCCUAGGCUCUGAUGUCUGAGAGAAAUAUGGAGAGUGUCUUUCUCCUUCUCAAUCAUGUCAGU
Non-coding RNA from Pelodiscus sinensis (Chinese soft-shelled turtle), 1116 nucleotides. The record is from RefSeq and is a predicted model, not a curated record. NCBI's taxonomy places the organism in Eukaryota, Metazoa, Chordata, Testudines, Trionychidae.